RNAcentral lists this ribosomal RNA (433 nucleotides) under uncultured bacterium. Its description in RNAcentral is "partial 16S ribosomal RNA". It matches the Rfam family "Bacterial small subunit ribosomal RNA", at positions 29 to 507 of the family's 1533-position model. The record is from RNAcentral.
AACGAACGCUGGCGGCAUGCCUAACACAUGCAAGUCGAACGAGACCUUCGGGUCUAGUGGCGCACGGGUGCGUAACGCGUGGGAACCUGCCCUUAGGUUCGGAAUAACUCCCCGAAAGGGGUGCUAAUACCGGAUAAUGUCUUCGGACCAAAGAUUUAUCGCCUUUGGAUGGGCCCGCGUUGGAUUAGCUAGUUGGUAGGGUAAAAGCCUACCAAGGCGACGAUCCAUAGCUGGUCUGAGAGGAUGAUCAGCCACACUGGGACUGAGACACGGCCCAGACUCCUACGGGAGGCAGCAGUGGGGAAUAGUGGACAAUGGGCGAAAGCCUGAUCCAGCAAUGCCGCGUGAGUGAUGAAGGCCUUAGGGUUGUAAAGCUCUUUUACCUGGGAUGAUAAUGACAGUACCGGGAGAAUAAGCUCCGGCUAACUCCGUG